AUACGGAGGAUCCGAGCGUUAUCCGGAUUUAUUGGGAUUAAAGGGUGCGCAGGCGGCCAUUUAAGUCAGCGGUUAAAUCGUGGGGCUCAACCCCAUUCUGCCGUUGAUACUGGGUGGCUUGAUUGCGGUCGAGGUUGGCGGAAUUCGUUGUGUAGCGGUGAAAUGCAUAGAUAUGACGAAGAACACCGAUUGCGUAGGCAGCUGACCAGACCGCAAAUGACGCUCAUGCACGAAAGUGCGGGGAUCGAACAGGAUUAGAUACCCUGGUAGUCCGCACAGUAAACGAUGAAUACUUGUUUUCGGCGAUAUAAUGUCGGAGGCAAAGCGAAAGCGAUAAGUAUUCCACCUGGGGAGUACGCCGGCAACGGUGAAACUCAAAUGAAUUGGCGGGG
RNAcentral lists this ribosomal RNA (392 nucleotides) under uncultured bacterium. Its description in RNAcentral is "partial 16S ribosomal RNA". It matches the Rfam family "Bacterial small subunit ribosomal RNA", at positions 523 to 918 of the family's 1533-position model. The record is from RNAcentral.